GUGAGGAAUUUUCCGCAAUGGGCGAAAGCCUGACGGAGCAAUGCCGCGUGAAGGAUGAAGGCCUAUGGGUUGUAAACUUCUUUUCUCAGAAAAGAAUUAUGACGGUAUCUGAGGAAUAAGCAUCGGCUAACUCAGUGCCAGCAGCCGCGGUAAGACAGAGGAUGCAAGCGUUAUCCGGAAUGAUUGGGCGUAAAGCGUCUGUAGGUUGUUUAAAAAGUAUUCUGUCAAAGAUUAGGGCUUAACCCUAGAUAGGCAGAAUAAACUUUUAAGCUAUAGUUUGGUAGAGGCAGAGGGAAUUCCCGGUGGGGCGGUGAAAUGCGUAGAUAUCGGGAGGAACACCAAAGGCGAAGGCACUCUGCUGGGCCAAUACUAACACUGAGAGACGAAAGCGAGGGGAGCAAAUGGGAUUAGAUACCCCAGUAGUCC
RNAcentral lists this ribosomal RNA (426 nucleotides) under uncultured bacterium. RNAcentral describes it as "bacterial SSU rRNA". It matches the Rfam family "Bacterial small subunit ribosomal RNA", at positions 354 to 796 of the family's 1533-position model. The record is from RNAcentral.